Molecule: long non-coding RNA, 471 nt
Filed under: Durio zibethinus
Lineage: Eukaryota; Viridiplantae; Streptophyta; Magnoliopsida; Malvales; Malvaceae
Description: long non-coding RNA (DZIB_LNC002282)
Source: RNAcentral
ACUAUGGAUGGAUUGUUAGUGUGAAAGAUAUAAUUGGAGGACAUGUAUGGUUAGGUUCCAUUUGUAUAUUUGGUGGCAUCUGGCAUAUCUUAACCAAACCUUUUGCAUGGGCUCGCCACGUACGACGAGUCUGGCAUGUUUAAUAAAACAGUGCUAUUCCAUUUGCAUCAAUGCCAAGUUAAAUAAUACAUAGAAUUUGCCUUUUCAUAAAAAUAAUAAAAAAUCAUACAUGCAUCAUCAUCAUCAUUCGUACAAAAGAUACCAAACCUUUUGCAUGGGCUCGCCAGGUACGACGAGUCUGGCAUGUUUAAUAAAACAGUGCUAUUCCAUUUGCAACAAUGCCAAGUUAAAUAAUACAUAGAAUUUGCCUUUCAUAAAAAUAAUAAAAAAUCAUACAUGCAUCAUCAUCAUCAUUCGUACAAAAGAUAACAGACCCAAAACCAAAAAAACAGAGAAAUGCAUAUUCAAUUG